CCAAUAGCGUAUAUUAAAGUUGUUGCAGUUAAAAAGCUCGUAGUUGAAUUUCGGGAUCAAGUCGUCGGUCGUGCCUCGGUACGCACUGGUGACAUUGGUUUCUCCCUUCUGAAGAACCUUGAUGUCAUUAAUUUGGUGUCUUGGGGAAUCAGGACUGUUACUUUGAAAAAAUUAGAGUGUUUAAAGCAGGCUCACGCUUGAAUACAUUAGCAUGGAAUAAUGAAAUAGGACGUUUGAUUCUAUUUUGUUGGUUUCUAGGAUCGACGUAAUGAUUAAUAGGGAUAGUUGGGGGCAUUAGUAUUCAAUUGUCAGAGGUGAAAUUCUUGGAUUUAUUGAAGACUAACUACUGCGAAAGCAUUUGCCAAGGAUGUUUUCAUUAAUCAAGAACGAAAGUUAGGGGAUCGAAGACGAUCAGAUACCGUCGUAGUCUUAACCAUAAACUAUGCCGACUAGGGAUCGGAUGAUGUUAAUUUUUUAAUGACUCAUUCGGCGCCUUAC
RNAcentral lists this unclassified non-coding RNA (498 nucleotides) under uncultured Glomus. Its description in RNAcentral is "SSU rRNA". It matches the Rfam family "Eukaryotic small subunit ribosomal RNA", at positions 591 to 1091 of the family's 1831-position model. Lineage: Eukaryota; Fungi; Glomeromycota; Glomeromycetes; Glomerales; Glomeraceae. The record is from RNAcentral.